AGUGAACGCUGGCGGUAGGCCUAACACAUGCAAGUCGAACGGCAGCACAGUAAGAGCUUGCUCUUACGGGUGGCGAGUGGCGGACGGGUGAGGAAUACAUCGGAAUCUACUUUUUCGUGGGGGAUAACGUAGGGAAACUUACGCUAAUACCGCAUACGACCUACGGGUGAAAGCAGGGGAUCUUCGGACCUUGCGCGAUUGAAUGAGCCGAUGUCGGAUUAGCUAGUUGGCGGGGUAAAGGCCCACCAAGGCGACGAUCCGUAGCUGGUCUGAGAGGAUGACCGGCCAGAUUGGAAGUGAGACAGGGACAAGACUACUAGGGGGGGAGCCAGGGGGGAAUAUUGGACAAUGGGGGCAAGCUUGAUCCAGCCAUCCGGGGGGGUUGAAGAGGGCCUUGGGGUUGUAAGGCCUUUUUGUGGGGAAAAAAAAGCAGGAGGUUAAUACCCCGCUGUUCUGACGUUACCAAAAGAAUAAGCCCCGGCUAACUUCGUG
This 492-nucleotide ribosomal RNA is filed under the name uncultured bacterium. Its description in RNAcentral is "partial 16S ribosomal RNA". It matches the Rfam family "Bacterial small subunit ribosomal RNA", at positions 29 to 507 of the family's 1533-position model. The record is from RNAcentral.